This 77-nucleotide transfer RNA is filed under the name Alphaproteobacteria bacterium. RNAcentral describes it as "tRNA-Arg". It matches the Rfam family "tRNA". Rfam says of the family: Transfer RNA (tRNA) molecules are approximately 80 nucleotides in length. The record is from RNAcentral. Lineage: Bacteria; Pseudomonadati; Pseudomonadota; Alphaproteobacteria.
GGACCCGUAGCUCAACUGGAUAGAGCGUUGCCCUCCGAAGGCAAAGGUUGGUGGUUCGAAUCCACUCGGGUCCGCCA